This 62-nucleotide transfer RNA is filed under the name Trapelus ruderatus (Baluch ground agama). Its description in RNAcentral is "tRNA-Tyr". Lineage: Eukaryota; Metazoa; Chordata; Lepidosauria; Squamata; Agamidae. The record is from RNAcentral.
UGGCAAGAGGGUGUAUCCCAUAAAUAGAUUUACAAUCUACCACCUACUUCGGCCAUCUUACC